This 253-nucleotide ribosomal RNA is filed under the name uncultured bacterium. RNAcentral's name for it is "partial 16S ribosomal RNA". It matches the Rfam family "Bacterial small subunit ribosomal RNA", at positions 524 to 776 of the family's 1533-position model. The record is from RNAcentral.
UACGUAGGUGGCAAGCGUUGUCCGGAAUUAUUGGGCGUAAAGCGCGCGCAGGCGGUCCUUUAAGUCUGAUGUGAAAGCCCACGGCUCAACCGUGGAGGGUCAUUGGAAACUGGGGGACUUGAGUACAGAAGAGAAGAGUGGAAUUCCACGUGUAGCGGUGAAAUGCGUAGAGAUGUGGAGGAACACCAGUGGCGAAGGCGACUCUUUGGUCUGUAACUGACGCUGAGGCGCGAAAGCGUGGGGAGCGAACCGG